UCUCCGUAGGUGAACCUGCGGAGGGAUCAUUACAGAGUUCUCGCCCUCGCGGGUAGAUCUCCCACCCACUGUUAUCGUUACUGUGUUGCUUUGGCGGGCCGCCGGGCCCCGCUCGGCCGCCGGCUCCGGCUGGCGCGCGCCCGCCAGAGGCCCAGCAAACUCUGAAUGUUAGUGUCGUCUGAGUACUAUAUAACAGUUAAAACUUCCAACAACGGAUCUCUUGGUUCUG
RNAcentral lists this unclassified non-coding RNA (229 nucleotides) under plant metagenome. RNAcentral describes it as "partial contains small subunit ribosomal RNA, internal transcribed spacer 1, and 5.8S ribosomal RNA". The record is from RNAcentral.